AAACCAACAGGGAUUGCCCUAGUAACGGCGAGUGAAGCGGCAACAGCUCAAAUUUGAAAUCUGGCCCUCGGGUCCGAGUUGUAAUUUGUAGAGGAUGCUUUGGGCGCGGUGCCUUCCGAGUUCCCUGGAACGGGACGCCUUAGAGGGUGAGAGCCCCGUACGGUUGGACACCAAGCCUCUGUAAAGCUCCUUCGACGAGUCGAGUAGUUUGGGAAUGCUGCUCUAAAUGGGAGGUAAAUUUCUUCUAAAGCUAAAUAUUGGCCAGAGACCGAUAGCGCACAAGUAGAGUGAUCGAAAGAUGAAAAGCACUUUGAAAAGAGGGUUAAAUAGUACGUGAAAUUGUUAAAAGGGAAGCGUUUGCGACCAGACCUUUUCCUGGCGGAUCAUCCGGUGUUCUUCACCGGUGCACUUCGCCAGGUCGAGGCCAGCAUCGGUUUUCCGCAGGGGGAUAAAAGCUUGGGGAACGUAGCUCCUCCGGGAGUGUUAUAGCCCCUCGCACAAUACCUUUGCGAGGACCGAGGACCGCGCCUCCGGGCAAGGAUGCUGGCGUAAUGGUCGUCAACGAC
This 566-nucleotide ribosomal RNA is filed under the name Kretzschmaria cf. macrosperma BCC 22760. RNAcentral's name for it is "eukaryotic LSU rRNA". It matches the Rfam family "Eukaryotic large subunit ribosomal RNA", at positions 62 to 648 of the family's 3401-position model. The record is from RNAcentral. Lineage: Eukaryota; Fungi; Ascomycota; Sordariomycetes; Xylariales; Xylariaceae.